Molecule: long non-coding RNA, 914 nt
Filed under: Mytilus galloprovincialis (Mediterranean mussel)
Lineage: Eukaryota; Metazoa; Mollusca; Bivalvia; Mytilida; Mytilidae
Source: RNAcentral
AGGUGUGUUGAUUACUUUAUUGUGGAAAGAAGAGAAGCGACACACAAAAUGAGGUCUUCUCGUUUAAUAGUAUAGAUAUACAGACGUCAUCAAAAUUGGGUAUUUUCAGAGGGCCGUAGCAGAAAUAGAAGCGCACCACCAUAUGAUUUUUUCUUCACCAAUUAUUUUUUUACAUAAAUCCAAAAAUCAGGUUUAGAACAAAAGCUUAAUUUUAGAAAUUUUUGGCUCGUCAGAGGUGUGCAUCCGUAAUGCAACAUUUUGUAUUAAGAUUGACACAUUUGUCCCAAUAGCAUGCUAAGCUGUUAAUUGACCAAAGUAUACACAAGAUAAAAAUACAUUAUAAAAAAAAAUAAAUAAAUGUAAAACCAACGGGACAGAGCAAUGUAGAUAUCUAAACAUGCAAUAGACUAUACAGAUGUCUCCACAAGAUAGGCAGUUGCUGACCAUAUUAUAUAUAAAAAACGUAGUUUGUUUCACUGUCGAAUACACGACGACAGUCACUAUCUCAUUUGUAUUUUUGAAAGAAGUCAUUCUAUAUUUCAUGAUUUUACAAAAUAAAAAUAAAAGUACAUAUAUGUGAAUUAAAAAUAUCUUUGUUAGACGAACAUGAUAACGCAAUUUAGAAUACUAAACGAAAAAGUGUACAAAAAAUCCCAAUAAAUACAAUUUGAUAGUGUAUAGUAAUAAUAUAAUAACACCAACUAACAGUACAUCAAUAUUGGUAUUAAUCUGGGUAAUAGUUUUGACCAUGUUCACAGAAUAUAGACGCAACCAUUAGCUUGCUGAUUAUACAUUCGGAAUCUACAUUAACAGUGCAUCAGAUUUGGUAUCAAUCCAAUGUUUAGAAAGAUGCAUCGACCUAUAAUCGAAUAGUACCCUUUGUGAUUACUCUUUGUGAUUAGCAACGCACCAUU